Molecule: long non-coding RNA, 998 nt
Organism: Gasterosteus aculeatus aculeatus (three-spined stickleback)
Lineage: Eukaryota; Metazoa; Chordata; Actinopteri; Perciformes; Gasterosteidae
Source: Ensembl
GCUGGGUUAAAGGCACUGCUGGGAUUUGAACCCAGGAUCUCCUGUUUACUAGACAGGCACUUUGACCAACUAAGCCACAGCGCCUCUACUUGAAGCGUUUAAACCAAAAACGAGUUGAACUUCUUUUCAAAAAAGUUUUAAUUAUGAAAAUGAAGUCAAAACACUGGGUUAACGGCACUGCUGGGAUUUGAACCCAGGAUCUCCUGUUUACUAGACAGGCACUUUGACCAACUAAGCCACAGAGCCUCUACUUGAAGCGUUUAAACCAAAAACGAGUUGAACUUCUUUUCAAAAAAGUUUUAAUUAUGAAAAUGAAGUGAAAACAGUGUGUUAGAGGCACUGCUGGGAUUUGAACCCAGGAUCUCCUGUUUACUAGACAGGCACUUUGACCAACUAAUCCACAGAGCCUCUACUUGAAGCGUUUAAACCAAAAACGAGUUGAACUUCUUUUCAAAAAAUUUUAAUUAUGAAAAUGAAGUGAAAACACCAGGUUAAAGGCACUGCUGGGAUUUGAACCCAGGAUCUCCUGUUUACUAGACAGGCACUUUGACCAACUAAUCCACAGAGCCUCUACUUGAAGCGUUUAAACCAAAAACGAGUUGAACUUCUUUUCAAAAAAGUUUUAAUUAUGAAAAUGAAGUCCAAACACUGGGUUAAAGGCACUGCUGGGAUUUGAACCUAGGAAUUCCUGUAUACUAGACAGGCACUUUGACCAUCUAAGCCACAGCGCCUCUACUUGAAGCUGUUAAACCCAAAACGAGUUGAAUACCUUUUCAAAAAAGUUUUAAUCAGAAAAAUGAAGUCAAAACACUGGGUUAAAGGCACUGCUGGGAUUUGAACCCAGGAUCUCCUGUUUACUAGACAGGCACUUUGACCAUCUAAGCCACAGCGCCUCUACUUGAAGCUGUUAAACCCAAAACGAGUUGAACUUCUUUUCAAAAAAGUUUUAAUUAUGAAAAUGAAGUGAAAACACUGGGUUAUAAAGGCACUGCUGGGAU